Molecule: ribosomal RNA, 501 nt
Filed under: uncultured bacterium
Lineage: Bacteria
Description: partial 16S ribosomal RNA
Rfam family: Bacterial small subunit ribosomal RNA
Source: RNAcentral
AGGGAAUCUUCCACAAUGGACGCAAGUCUGAUGGAGCAACGCCGCGUGAGUGAAGAAGGUUUUCGGAUCGUAAAGCUCUGUUGUUGGUGAAGAAGGAUAGAGGCAGUAACUGGUCUUUAUUUGACGGUAAUCAACCAGAAAGUCACGGCUAACUACGUGCCAGCAGCCGCGGUAAUACGUAGGUGACAAGCGUUGUCCGGAUUUAUUGGGCGUAAAGCGAGCGCAGGCGGAAUGAUAAGUCUGAUGUGAAAGCCCACGGCUCAACCGUGGAACUGCAUCGGAAACUGUCAUUCUUGAGUGCAGAAGAGGAGAGUGGAACUCCAUGUGUAGCGGUGGAAUGCGUAGAUAUAUGGAAGAACACCAGUGGCGAAGGCGGCUCUCUGGUCUGCAACUGACGCUGAGGCUCGAAAGCAUGGGUAGCGAACAGGAUUAGAUACCCUGGUAGUCCAUGCCGUAAACGAUGAGCGCUAGGUGUUGGGGACUUUCCGGUCCUCAGUGCCG